Molecule: long non-coding RNA, 1184 nt
Organism: Astatotilapia calliptera (eastern happy)
Lineage: Eukaryota; Metazoa; Chordata; Actinopteri; Cichliformes; Cichlidae
Source: Ensembl
AAAGACUAGUCAUUAAUUUGACUGAUCAGAAGAUAAAAGCUUAGUAUAUUAAACCUUUUACACCUGUAUUUUGUAGUGUUAUAGCAUGAAAUGAAACACAAACUGAGUUUCAGCACUUCUUGCUGUGGCUCCCAACUUUUAGCAUCACUCACUUUGUGGAGCAAACACGCUGAACAAACUCGUGAAAAAAAAGAAGCUCUAUGCAUGCACUUUGCUAGAGAGUUGGCGCAUCAUCACGUUCACACACACGCGCACACGAAAACUGAUUUCGCGUAAUUAUGUUCUAAACCACUUUAUGAAUGAUUUAGUGGCUUGUGGUAAAAUAUUUGGUAAAAUGAUCACCGGCCACCUACCUUGAAGCAGCUGUUGUCCUCUGAUUCCUCCUGAGAAAGGAUGCGUCUAACUUCUGGGACUCUGGUCCCGAUCCACAGAGGAAAAAAGUAGACACAGAGCUUGAGCAGCGACGACUCUCAUGAAUCCGCUUAAAAUGGUCCUCAUAAGCCUAUUUUUGUUUGUUUGUUUGUUUGUUUUUUAAAGGGGGAAAAAGAAUAAUAAAAAAAAAGUCGUGCCAGUCCUUUGUAUGUGUGCUCAGUUUGGAUGCUUCAAAAAGACAACCGGGAUUGCUUGUCUUCUCUAACUUCUAACGGUUUGUCUGCAGCCUUUCCAAGUCACUUGCAUCUCUGGUGUCCAAAACCAAACAUCAUAUCAGUCAGCUUUGGCAUCAUUCAUAUAAAAAAGUAUAAAUAAAACAUAGACUAUAAAAAUAUGAUAAAUAUUCUUCUCCAUCAACGCCUGUUUCAUUCAUUCUUAAUAAAACGAAAAAAAAAAUUAAGAUAAAGCAUCAACUUUGGCAGCUUCAGUCACAUUCAAAAGUUUUUUAAAAAAAACAAAAAAGUUUCAGCAAACAAUAAAAUAUGAGCCAGAGCUUUUUUUGUAUUCUUCCUGUCUUAAGGGGCGUUAAGGUAAGUUUUUCUAGAGUUUCCUCCGAGCAUCCAGGUUACACAGAGCGCACAGAAGUCUCUCUGCCGCUGUUUCAGCUGUCUAAUUCCUUCCAGACGGGUGUGUGUGCAUGUGUGCGAGUAUGUCUGUGUGUGUGGACCCUCCUUUAUGGCUCCUGCGGCUCCCAAACCCCUUUUACCGGGCAACAGAUUGGCGUGUUGAUUUAAUAGGAGGGAAGGUUUGGG